RNAcentral lists this ribosomal RNA (497 nucleotides) under uncultured bacterium. RNAcentral describes it as "partial 16S ribosomal RNA". It matches the Rfam family "Bacterial small subunit ribosomal RNA", at positions 28 to 507 of the family's 1533-position model. The record is from RNAcentral.
GAUGAACGCUGGAGGCGUGCCUAAUACAUGCAAGUCGAGCGAACGGACGAGAAGCUUGCUUCUCUGAUGUUAGCGGCGGACGGGUGAGUAACACGUGGAUAACCUACCUAUAAGACUGGGAUAACUUCGGGAAACCGGAGCUAAUACCGGAUGAUAUUUUGAACCGCAUGGUUCAAAAGUGAAAGACGGUCUUGCUGUCACUUAUAGAUGGAUCCGCGCUGCAUUAGCUAGUUGGUAAGGUAACGGCUUACCAAGGCAACGAUGCAUAGCCGACCUGAGAGGGUGAUCGGCCACACUGGAACUGAGACACGGUCCAGACUCCUACGGGAGGCAGCAGUAGGGAAUCUUCCGCAAUGGGCGAAAGCCUGACGGAGCAACGCCGCGUGAGUGAUGAAGGUCUUCGGAUCGUAAAACUCUGUUAUUAGGGAAGAACAUAUGUGUAAGUAACUGUGCACAUCUUGACGGUACCUAAUCAGAAAGCCACGGCUAACUACGUG